Molecule: ribosomal RNA, 494 nt
Filed under: uncultured bacterium
Lineage: Bacteria
Description: partial 16S ribosomal RNA
Rfam family: Bacterial small subunit ribosomal RNA
Source: RNAcentral
GACGAACGCUGGCGGCGUGCUUAACACAUGCAAGUCGAACGGUGAAGCGCCUUCCUUUUUGGUGGGUGUGGAUGAGUGGCGAACGGGUGAGUAACACGUGAGUAACCUGCCCCCUUCUUCUGGAUAACCGCAUGAAAGUGUGGCUAAUACGGGAUAUUCUGGGUCUGUCGCAUGAUGGGUCUGGGAAAGAUAUUGUUUCGGUGGGGGAUGGGCUCUCGGCCUAUCAGCUUGUUGGUGGGGUGAUGGCCUACCAAGGCGGUGACGGGUAGCCGGCCUGAGAGGGUGGACGGUCACACUGGGACUGAGACACGGCCCAGACUCCUACGGGAGGCAGCAGUGGGGAAUAUUGCACAAUGGGCGCAAGCCUGAUGCAGCGACGCCGCGUGAGGGAUGGAGGCCUUCGGGUUGUGAACCUCUUUCGCCAGUGAAGCAGGCCUGCCUCGUUUGUGGGUGGGUUGACGGUAGCUGGAGAAGAAGCGCCGGCUAACUACGUG